GCCUCAAGAGGCUGAUCAAGCAUUGGUCUUGUAAAUCAAAGGCAAGAAGUUCAAUCUUCUCUAAGGCA
Molecule: transfer RNA, 68 nt
Filed under: Gibbosula laosensis
Lineage: Eukaryota; Metazoa; Mollusca; Bivalvia; Unionida; Margaritiferidae
Description: tRNA-Thr
Rfam family: tRNA
About the family: Transfer RNA (tRNA) molecules are approximately 80 nucleotides in length. Their secondary structure includes four short double-helical elements and three loops (D, anti-codon, and T loops).
Source: RNAcentral